GUUAAGGUAGCAGAGCUUGGCCAUGCAAAAGACCUAAGCCCUUUGGACAGAGGUUCAAAUCCUCUCCUUAACU
RNAcentral lists this transfer RNA (73 nucleotides) under Sillago indica (Indian whiting). Its description in RNAcentral is "tRNA-Leu". It matches the Rfam family "tRNA". From Rfam's summary of the family: Transfer RNA (tRNA) molecules are approximately 80 nucleotides in length. Their secondary structure includes four short double-helical elements and three loops (D, anti-codon, and T loops). The record is from RNAcentral. Lineage: Eukaryota; Metazoa; Chordata; Actinopteri; Sillaginidae.